Homo sapiens (human) is the source of this 1209-nucleotide long non-coding RNA. Ensembl annotates it as long intergenic non-protein coding RNA 237. The record is from Ensembl. Lineage: Eukaryota; Metazoa; Chordata; Mammalia; Primates; Hominidae.
ACAGUGCGGGGCGAGGCUUGGCGAGCGGUGGGUCUGCGCCUUCCCAAGCACUUCUGGCCUGUUGCAUAAGCAGAGUGAGCUUCAGGGGCCAAGAAAAAGUUCCCAGGCAAUGAAACACAGGUGCUGGUGGUUGGUCAUUGAGCUGGUACACGCUGAUGUAGACAGAAGAGACUGGGGCAGCAUGAAUGUGCUGGAAGAUUAGAGGCUGCUGAUGCUGAAGGAAGGAGAAACGAGGAGGAAGUGUCCCUGUGGACAAGUCAUCUCCCUUCAUUUAAGCCAGGCCAGUAGUCCGGGAGACAUUCUGAAUGAUGCAUUAUCCUAGGCACCAGAAAGUAUCUAACAUUCUCAUGGACAGCAGGGAAAAAUGAGCACAUGAGACAGGGGAAGAUUCCAGCACCUGUGAACAUGUUUGUGCAGGUUUCCAGUCAGUACAUGGAUAUCCCUCAAGCCUUUGAAUCCAGUCUCCUGUGUUGUGAUUGGACCGUUUGUCAUUAGGUUUCCAGUGGCAGAGUAAUGCUGUGGGAGAACUGGCUACGAUGGCCGCAGGAGGUGAAUUAAGUAUUGUUGUGUUUUUAGUAGAACCACUAAAGGAAGAUCUGCAGGCAAGUUGGAUGAGUAUAAGAGCCAAAGAUUGACAAGACUUCCUCAGAUGCUCCUACUGACCAGUGGGGGCACUUCUACAGCUCCCCGAAUAUGUUCUCCCUGCAACCCCCACCACUUUUUAAUUAAAUGGCCAGAACUGCCUUUUUGUAUCAAAACUUAUUUUAGUCUAUCAAUCAAAGGCUUCUAUAGCCCACCUCAUGGCAAAGGAUAUCAGAGAGGUAAAAGAUAAUUGUUUUGACAUAUUUAUUAUCACAACUAGCGACUCUUUCUGCAUUCACAUUGGCUGGUAUGCAGAAAAGGGUGCUUUACAGGAUUCUUGGAAAUGUGUAGUGGAUGCUGGCUCUAGGGGAGGCAGAAUAGAGUGUGGGUUCUGCCAUGGGUCACAUCCGGGUUUUAAUUCUGCCUCUGCCACAUGACCUUGAGCACACUGGAAAACCCUAUUAGAUGUGCAAGAAGGCUUCCCCAUCUGUAAAGGUGGGUGACUUAGCAACUUUAGCAAUGCUUAAGUCACCCGGUUGUUGUGAGUAAUACAUAAGUUAAUGUAUGCUAACUUUCUAGAAAGUUUCCUGGCACAAAGUUGUAUUUAAUAAAUGAUUUUUAAAACAA